AGCCUUGAAGUAGCUGUUUACGUUGGAUUGCAAAUCCAAAGACGGAGGCUGAUUCCCUCCCGGGGCUUU
RNAcentral lists this transfer RNA (69 nucleotides) under Prionace glauca (blue shark). Its description in RNAcentral is "tRNA-Cys". The record is from RNAcentral. Lineage: Eukaryota; Metazoa; Chordata; Chondrichthyes; Carcharhiniformes; Carcharhinidae.